GCUCAAUCAGACUCUCACAGGCUGUAGUCAAUGCACUGGGUCUAACUGGUCUAACAACCAAAACUCACGUGCCCUUGGCACAAUCUGAUGCAAAAUAUAGAAAUCUGGGUCCACCGUCAACUACGACGGCACCCGACAGUCCGAAACGGUCUACACACUACUGUAAAACAAACUCGGCAUCCCAACAUGAGCGUAAACUCCUCCUACACUAAUUUGGAUAUCCACCGCAUACGAACAACGGCGAUACAAAAGAAUCA
RNAcentral lists this long non-coding RNA (257 nucleotides) under Ananas comosus (pineapple). Its description in RNAcentral is "long non-coding RNA (ACOM_LNC008584)". The record is from RNAcentral. Lineage: Eukaryota; Viridiplantae; Streptophyta; Magnoliopsida; Poales; Bromeliaceae.